Molecule: ribosomal RNA, 395 nt
Filed under: uncultured bacterium
Lineage: Bacteria
Description: bacterial SSU rRNA
Rfam family: Bacterial small subunit ribosomal RNA
Source: RNAcentral
GUGUCAGCCGCCGCGGUAAUACGUAGGGUGCAAGCGUUAAUCGGAAUUACUGGGCGUAAAGCGAGUGCAGGCGGUUUGUUAAGCUAGAUGUGAAAGCCCCGGGCUCAACCUGGGAAUUGCGUUUAGAACUGGCAAGCUAGAGUGUGUCAGAGGGGGGUAGAAUUCCACGUGUAGCAGUGAAAUGCGUAGAGAUGUGGAGGAAUACCGAUGGCGAAGGCAGCCCCCUGGGAUAACACUGACGCUCAUACUCGAAAGCGUGGGUAGCAAACAGGAUUAGAUACCCUGGUAGUCCACGCCCUAAACGAUGACAAUUAGCUGUUGGGGAAUUAAAAGUCCUUGGUAGCGUAGCUAACGCGUGAAAUUGUCCGCCUGGGGAGUACGGUCGCAAGAUUAAA